CAGGAUUUAACUAUCAGAAUGAAGAUGAAAAAGUCACCUUGUCUUUCCCUAGUACUCUGCAAACAGGUACGGGAACCUUAAAGAUAGAUUUUGUUGGAGAGCUGAAUGACAAAAUGAAAGGUUUCUAUAGAAGCUACUGAUGCCCGAAGGGCUUUUCCUUGCUGGGAUGAGCCUGCUAUCAAAGCAACUUUUGAUAUCUCAUUGGUUGUUCCUAAAGACAGAGUAGCUUUAUCAAACAUGAAUGUAAUUGACCGGAAACCAUACCCUGAUGAUGAAAAUUUAGUGGAAGUGAAGUUUGCCCGCACACCUGUUAUGUCUACAUAUCUGGUGGCAUUUGUUGUGGGUGAAUAUGACUUUGUAGAAACAAGGUCAAAAGAUGGUGUGUGUGUCCGUGUUUACACUCCUGUUGGCAAAGCAGAGCAAGGAAAAUUUGCGUUAGAGGUAAAUGUACUUGAAGAGGAUUGUUCCAACAGUCCAUAACUCCAGGUUGGGGAAUUUACAUUUCUGGUCAAUUAUUAGUACAGUUAUUUAUAAUUUAAUCUGAAAGUUGUGCUACUUGGUUUAUUUUUAAUAGAAUUUAGGAAAUGCCAACCUUGGUGUUUCAUUAUUUUACAAAAUAAUAAUUAAGAGAAUAUAAGAGUGGAAUGUCUCUAGGGAAUGGGUUGGAAAAUAUGUAGUUACAUU
RNAcentral lists this small RNA (684 nucleotides) under Pan troglodytes (chimpanzee). Its description in RNAcentral is "retained intron". Lineage: Eukaryota; Metazoa; Chordata; Mammalia; Primates; Hominidae. The record is from RNAcentral.